AGCAGUGGGGAAUUUUGGACAAUGGGCGCAAGCCUGAUCCAGCAAUGCCGCGUGAGUGAAGAAGGCCUUCGGGUUGUAAAGCUCUUUUGUCAGAGAAGAAACGGUGAGAGCUAAUAUCUCUUGCUAAUGACGGUACCUGAAGAAUAAGCACCGGCUAACUACGUGCCAGCAGCCGCGGUAAUACGUAGGGUGCAAGCGUUAAUCGGAAUUACUGGGCGUAAAGCGUGCGCAGGCGGUUUUGUAAGUUUGUCGUGAAAGCCCUGGGCUCAACCUGGGAAUUGCGAUGAAGACUGCAAGGCUUGAAUCUGGCAGAGGGGGGUAGAAUUCCACGUGUAGCAGUGAAAUGCGUAGAGAUGUGGAGGAACACCGAUGGCGAAGGCAGCCCCCUGGGUCAAGAUUGACGCUCAUG
This 409-nucleotide ribosomal RNA is filed under the name uncultured bacterium. RNAcentral describes it as "bacterial SSU rRNA". It matches the Rfam family "Bacterial small subunit ribosomal RNA", at positions 350 to 751 of the family's 1533-position model. The record is from RNAcentral.